RNAcentral lists this non-coding RNA (86 nucleotides) under unclassified sequences. The record is from RNAcentral.
GCAGCUUCGCCACCGGGUGGAGCUGAUAAGCGUCAGGUUUUCCGUCGUUAGGUCUUAGAAGAGGGAAAACGCUGGCGCUUUUUUAG